This is a non-coding RNA of Schistosoma mattheei, 45 nucleotides long. The record is from Rfam. Lineage: Eukaryota; Metazoa; Platyhelminthes; Trematoda; Strigeidida; Schistosomatidae.
AUUAAGCUGAUGAGUCCUAAAUAGGACGAAAUGCACAUCUUGGAU